GUAGCACAGAGAGCUUGCUCUCGGGUGACGAGUGGCGGACGGGUGAGUAAUGUCUGGGAAACUGCCUGAUGGAGGGGGAUAACUACUGGAAACGGUAGCUAAUACCGCACAACGUCGCAAGACCAAAGAGGGGGACCUUCGGGCCUCUUGCCAUCAGAUGUGCCCAGAUGGGAUUAGCUAGUAGGUGGGGUAACGGCCCACCUAGGCGACGAUCCCUAGCUGGUCUGAGAGGAUGACCAGCCACACUGGAACUGAGACACGGUCCAGACUCCUACGGGAGGCAGCAGUGGGGAAUAUUGCACAAUGGGCGCAAGCCUGAUGCAGCCAUGCCGCGUGUAUGAAGAAGGCCUUCGGGUUGUAAAGUACUUUCAGCGGGGAGGAAGGUGUUGCGGUUAAUAACCGCAGCAAUUGACGUUACCCGCAGAAGAAGCACCGGCUAACUCCGUGCCAGCAGCCGCGGUAAUACGGAGGGUGCAAGCGUUAAUCGGAAUUACUGGGCGUAAAGCGCACGCAGGCGGUCUGUCAAGUCGGAUGUGAAAUCCCCGGGCUCAACCUGGGAACUGCAUUCGAAACUGGCAGGCUAGAGUCUUGUAGAGGGGGGUAGAAUUCCAGGUGUAGCGGUGAAAUGCGUAGAGAUCUGGAGGAAUACCGGUGGCGAAGGCGGCCCCCUGGACAAAGACUGAC
RNAcentral lists this ribosomal RNA (684 nucleotides) under uncultured Enterobacterales bacterium. RNAcentral describes it as "bacterial SSU rRNA". It matches the Rfam family "Bacterial small subunit ribosomal RNA", at positions 69 to 744 of the family's 1533-position model. Lineage: Bacteria; Pseudomonadati; Pseudomonadota; Gammaproteobacteria; Enterobacterales. The record is from RNAcentral.